Molecule: ribosomal RNA, 358 nt
Filed under: uncultured bacterium
Lineage: Bacteria
Description: bacterial SSU rRNA
Rfam family: Bacterial small subunit ribosomal RNA
Source: RNAcentral
CGAAAGACGGGACUAAUAUCAGAUAAUGCAGCGGCUCCGCAUGGAGACAGUUGUUAAAGUACAAGCGCCUGAAGAUGAGCCUGCGGUCCAUUAGCUAGUUGGUAGAGUAACAGCCUACCAAGGCAACGAUGGGUAGCUGGUCUGAGAGGAUGAUCAGCCACACUGGAACUGAGACACGGUCCAGACUCCUACGGGAGGCAGUAGUAAGGAAUAUUGCUCAAUGGCCGAAAGGCUGAAGCAGCAACGCCGCGUGAAGGAUGAAUGGCCUUUGGCCUGUAAACUUCUGUAAAAAGGGAAAAACAAUCAGGCAUGUCCUGAUUUGAUUGUACCUUUGAAGUAAGCCCCGGCUAACUACGUG